This is a non-coding RNA of Nephila pilipes (giant wood spider), 73 nucleotides long. NCBI's taxonomy places the organism in Eukaryota, Metazoa, Arthropoda, Arachnida, Araneae, Nephilidae. The record is from the annotation of a GenBank genome assembly.
GCUCCUGUGGCUUAAUGGUUAUAACAUUGUAUUCGAUAUCCAAUGAUCGUGCGGUCGAAUUCCGCCAGGAGCU